This 13855-nucleotide long non-coding RNA is filed under the name Xyrichtys novacula (pearly razorfish). Lineage: Eukaryota; Metazoa; Chordata; Actinopteri; Labriformes; Labridae. The record is from RNAcentral.
ACUUAAUACCACUUCUUUGCAUCCUGAACCUGAGAAAGUAAUGUAAGCUGCAUCAUAUGACCCUAUGGUUAAUGCAUGACCAGAAACAUCGCUAUUCAGGUCAUUUUAUGGAGUAAAAUUUUCUGAAUGUGCAGUAUGCCCAAUCCAUCAUAACGCAAAAGACUGAACUGCUUGAAUUAUAAAACUGUAUUAAUACAUUAACAUAUAUGCCGCCCACACAGUUCCAUCACCCACAGAUAUUACACAGGGUCACAUCAUUGAUCUUUCACUGACACAAACCAGCUGCACUGUGGGUCGGGACUGCCAUGCAUCACAGGAUGAACAGGAGGUCAGUGGUCAGAUAUGUUUUCAUUUCUAGUCUGAUAUGAUUUUCCAUCUUCAUCUAUCAGAUCUUGUAGUUUAUUUGCGGCCCUGCACACCGCUGCUGUAUCUUCAUUAGAAGCCCAGAGGACGAGAGAUUGGUAUUCAAUCUGUGAUUUUUUUCUUACUCGUGUUACAUGUGCUGAAGAUUUGUUUGCUUUGCAGAGCUCUGGUUAGCUCCAUAGAUUUUUGUGGACUAAUUUAUGACCCAUCACGUCUGCUCACUGAGGUUGCUCUAUUAGUCGUACAGUAUAAAUUGAGAUCCGUGACAUCCUUUGGCCAUCCUUUCUGUCUCAGUUGCCCCGAGCUACCGGCUAAUCCAUGUAACCAAUUAAGAAAACACUUCAUGAGAUACUUAGAGACUGAAAAUGAAGGUGGCAUUGCUGACUCUUGGGGCGUGCUUUAACUGUGAAAUAACAAAUUAGCUCCAUUUGCUCUGAAAAUUCAUUAUCACAAUUUGGGAGGAAAAAAAGCAUGAAAGUCAAAAUUCAUCCUCCGAUCUUUAACUGAAGCGCCAUUGCUCGUUACCAAAUAAAACAGGAAAAUGCGGGAGAUGAGACACCCCUGGCAAACCAAAAACGGGAAGUUAAUUACGCAGCACCUCAUCUGCUCCACUCGUAACCGUGUCUUGUUUUUACUUCUGAAACUUUCUCAAGCAUAAAGACAUUAAUAUCAACUCUCUGUGCGCUUCCCACUUAAGUACUUCUUUUUCUGCCACUUUAGCUUAGAUUAAAAGCAGAAGUGAGUAAAACCUCCCCGCUCUCUUCUCCACCUCCGACACUCCAUCUCAGUUUGUGCCAUUUUCCUCUUUUACUUCCCCCACAUGUGAAUGUUCCCUAACUCUCUUUUUAAUGCCAGUCACUCUACUUCAGCUGGGGCCCAUGAGAGAGGGAGAUGUCUGUGUUUGCGUUCCCUCAUGCAUACACAUGACCACACAGUGAGCGCAGGGAGACUCCUCGGAGAGCUCUAAGUCCUAUUGAGAGUGAUGUCACAUACUCUUCCCCAGUGUCUGUGAACAACAAAUCACCUUCUGCACGUCUAUAAUACAUAUCCCCAUCCACCCCUGGAGGCUUUAUCGGCUAAAUACCCUCAAGCUGGAGAUCCCAGACAUAAGCCCAAGUGUAAAUUUGCUCUGAAGCUUAAAGGACACGUUGCACUGGGAGACAGCCUGAUAAAAGCCACCAUUAGAGCAGCGUUUGGGGCCUUUUCUUUGUAAUGAAGAUGGAGGAAGUGCACUCCAGACAGUGUAGGAAAGCAAACAAACCUUAGCUGUAUUUGAGCUUGGAGCUAUAAAAGGUUAAGGAAAGAGGACAGGAAACACAGAGGACAGCGUUUAUGUAUGUUUGAGCACAUUUUAAGGUUAGAUACAGGUACAUGUACUUCACAUACUGAAUGAUAGUUGAUAUUUACAGACACUGCACUGCAAACACAACAAACAGUCUUUUAUCAUCAGCACAUCAAAUGUGUAAAUUAGCAACAAGCUCCUUAAUUUUCUGACAAUAAACAACUUUUAACCAUAACUGAAGGCUUCAUAUGUGGAGACAAACUUAAUGUUCAGGCUUGUGCACUUAGCACCGCUCCUAAAAUAAUGACGAAAAAAUGUCUUUUGAGAGCAUUCGCAUAUUAUUGCCUGAUAACUAGAGCUAGUUCUUCUUCCAAUCAGCUGGCAAAAAUAAAAUUAAGGUUAAAAACUGGAGAUUAGUCUUAAACAUAGAAUAGCACUCAGUGUAAAUAAAUAUCGGUCUAUUUGUGCUGCUGUGCCAACUCUUCAAACUACAGACACACAAAUUGAUCUCCAAUGACACCAUCCAUUAUUUUAUUUCAAACUUAGGGCUGUAAUCAACCAAAGAAAUUCUUGGUCGACUAAAACCCUGAAAUUUUUGACCAAAAAUCGACUAAUUUGGGGUUCUCACUCUGACGGCAAACCCUUCUGCGGUGGGGGAUGAUGUGGCUCAGCACAGCGCAGCACAAGGAGGCAAUUAAACGUGAUGAAAGUUGAAAAUGAAAAAUAAAAAUAAAUAUUGAGCAAAUAGUGGUGUUGAUUAACAUGGAUGCUCUCAAAUCUUUCUGUCUCCAGCCAGUCUCCAGUGGGUUGAGCGAAUCCAAAAUGGUUAAGAUAAGAGGGGUGUUCUGAGACAGGCUGUUACCUGUGAAAAGAAGGUGCUCUGAAAACACCCCCAUUAGCACUUGGUAUGUUCCUCCUGAUGAAAUUAGCCAUAGACUGUAAAUUGACACGAAAAAACAUCAAGUCCACCAAUCAGAAUUUUGGUCGACACAGCACGUAUCAACCAAUAACAGCCCUUACUGCCACUCCGAAAGGUUCAUUUUCUGAAUUUCACAUUUAGUUUUGUAGGGAUGAUUUUGAGACAGUAAAGGAGAAAGCAUUGUAGCCCAGCAGUGAAUUGAAUGGUUGCAAAGCUGAACCAGAGCAAACAAUUCUGUUCCUUUGGGGACUCACAGUUACACCCUGUGACUCGGCCAGCUCCCUGUCACACAAGUAGUCCAGUGCCAGUGGAUAAAAUACCAAAGCCAGUUCUGGGACCCGCUGGUGUAAACAAACCCUUUUACAGGAAAAUUAAAAAGAGGGGAACUGAUGAUCCUGGACAUAAUAUGAGCUGCCAAAAUGCAGAGUACCACACAUGCACACUAGAUAAAAUCUAAGCGGUAGACCUGGCCGCUGUGAUAUCAACAAGUUGGUGCGCUUUAGCUGUAGCUGACUAUAGAGAAAAACUGUAGUUCAGCUGUAUGGUUGUUGACAUGUUCUUAUGUUUCCUUUUAUGAAAUAAAUCUAUUCAUUAUUCAUUCAUGCUUUUCAUUAAACUGAAUUUGAAGCCUCAACAUGAUAUAACAUCUUAACAUCAUGACUCUAGACUGAUCUUUAGAAAUCAAACCUGAAAGUAGCAUGUUUCAUUUCACUCUCAGUUGGGUAUUUUAUAUAAAAAGGCUUAAGAGUAUACUUGUAUCCAGCUCAUCAUGGAACAGCAUUUCACAAACACUUCUCUGUAGCUCCAUUCUUCAGCUCAGGGACUGCCAGCCUAUCUGCUCAUGCUAGAGGCAUCCCUGAGCCUGCAUGUGCAUUCAGGAAGUGUACUGUGUAUUCAUGUGUUUGACCUCACAAAUUCAAUCUUGCGGCUGUGGUUUCAGGUGAAAGCAGCCCUGCAGUGGAGAAUAUGUGUUUCAUUAAUUUGCAGUGGUGACCUCCUGAGUUGUUCACCUUCAUCAGGCCUGCAACUGAAUCCUAAAAUCGCUCUCCACCGCAGCAAGUACCUCUGUCAGAGUAAGUAAUGGGUGAGUGGGAGGCUCCGUGGGGAUAUGGAGGCCACAGGUUCAAUUUUGGAAAACUUAUACUAGUGUCUGUCGAUGAGCUUGUGUAUUUGUGCAGCGGGAGUUCAAGCCAAGUGGCUCUACUUCGUGAAUGUACUCUUGGUGAUAAGGGCCACAGCUGAAGAGGACAUGUGGGUGAGCCAGUGGAGGUGAUGGGUUAUUAAGACCUGAGGUGAAAAGGUGGGGUCAAGAUCAGGGCGCAAAGGAACCAAGGGCAGGAUCAUGGAUUACUUCUUACUUCCUGGGAGAUUGCUUUGGAACACAUAGAUGCAGCCUUGGAGUUAAUAAACAGCUAUGUGUGUGUGUGUAAGUGUGUGUGUGUGCAGUGAUUGUGAGGGGCGUUGUUGCAGAGUAUUGAAUAAAAAGUGAUAAAACUCCAACUUUAGUUUGAGACUGUAGACUCUCCUUCUUCCCAGACACUUGGUGCAUUGCAGUGAACAAGUGUCUGCAUCUGCAGUGAAGCAAAUACAGAAAGAGCUUAUGAUUUCACACAGGACUCCAGGUACUGCUUCACAUCCUAGUUACAGAUGUUUUCACGAAGCCUUUCAUGUGCUCCAUGUGCAUUUUUUCUACCCCUGAUGUAAAAUUGUUCUGCAACCCAAAAAGUAGAUAGCAUUCCUCUCCUGAUGUGUGUUCUCCUGCCAGUGAUUUAGCAUGCACACUAAUCCACUUAGAUCUACAGUGAGCCUGCACAGACUGUAAAACUAAAAGUAACAUUUGUACAUGAAAUGUCACCCCAGAUUUACAGAAUCUGAGAUGCUUUGCACAUUUUUCAGAGACUGAGUUAAAUUCUCAUCCAGCUUACUGCGAGCAUAACAUAUUUGUACCACAGCUCAUGAAUGGAAAGCACAGUGAAGCUCAAGGGGCUUUCCACAUGGCAUCAAUAUUCAUGGCAAAAUAGUAACAAUAAAUAUACUCGGGUAUUCUUUAUUUUGACAUGCAUUCUCAAAAGUUUUGUGUGUUUGAAACUCUGCAAUCCUGCCGUAUCAGAACUGUGUGGAGGAGGUUUGAUUAGACCUGAUUGAGAUGAACAAACAACCCUGCUGAGCCUGUCAUCAGAUUGUGAUUCAGAAGUUGCCCAAGCCUGAUAGGUUUGUUGAAACAUGAGAAAUCAAUUUGCACUGCAUCCGGACACAGCUGAUGAUUCCUUUCAUAACAAAGCAUCAUAAAAGAUGUAGUCUUCUUCUUUAAUGUUACCAAAGAGUGUGGUCUAAACCUGAUUUUUCAAAGAAUGCCUUUAUAAAUGCACCUUAUGAAUAAAGAUUAAUUGAUUGAUUUGAACUAUUAAAAUACCACAAUGGUAUCACAAUUAGCAACAAUGCCCUCAAGUCUAUUUUUGGAGGGGCUCCCAUAUAAAAGAAAGGUUAAAACUGUUUUCCUGUGUGAUAACCUCCAAUGGGUUCAGCAAUGAGCUUUUUUGUGCAACUGUGAAGCUCUUUCAAAUACCAUCUGUAUUUUUCCAUCCUAAGGGUGACCAUAAAUCCUGUUUUACCCAGACAUGUUCUCUUUUAGGACAUGUCCUUCAAAUGUCCACGGUGUUAUAUGGAAGUUUUGAGUUGUGUACCGUGGACUAACUAAGUAAGAAACGCAUAAAAAGAAUUCAACCCGACCAGAAAAACCCUCAAGACUUUGAGUGCAACUCCGCCCGUGUACUCGUGUCCUCUUUUGAGUGAUUCAGAAUAUGGUCACUCUAGCCAUCCUGCCAACUGCAGGUGAGCUCAGCUUACAGGAACAUUUCAAUCUCUCUCAUUUCUGCAUUUAAAACAUUGUCUUCUUCAUCAUAAAUAGUGUAAUGUUCUGCUGUUAAUGCGCACUAGUGUUUGUUAUAGAGGUUACACAGCCAGUAAUAGAAGAGGGUAGAGAACCCAGAUCGUUACCUAGAUCCUCACGCUUGAGUUUGAUUGCUCCUUGAUCUGUUGUUAAUGCCUUUGUGAUCCAGUAGGGGGCCCACACUCUGCUUCAGAGUGAGAGAAAAGAGCAACAUAUGUGUGGUUUUCCUCAUUCUAAAAUCACCACUAUUUCCCUUAAUUAAGGGUAUGACAUCUACUUGUCGAUGUCUACUCAUCUACUUAUCCAGGAAUCAAACCUGCACUUCGUAAGCUUUAAUACACCAUUGUUUUCUUCAAAUUUCUGUAAGUUGAUGAGGUAGAAACCUCUUAAAAGUGGUGCCACCAGCUUGGUUGCCAUGUCUUUGUAUCUAACAGGCUUGGUACAGUACAUGCAGUGGGUUACAGAAGUCAUACUACUGGUAUUUUUGUCUGGAAUGAGGAUGUUCCAGUUUACCGGUAUUGGUGAUAACUCUCUUUUUAUUUUUAUUUUUUAUAGUUAUAUAUAUGCUUAAAAAAGAGCAUGCGUCUUUAUUUUGCAUCAAUAAUAUGUUUUAACUAGAAAAUUCCCUCUGGGGUUACUGCCAGGGUGUGUGUGCUAUAAUGAAAUUCUUCAGAGAUUUCAAAUAAUUUAUACUUUUACCACUGUGAUAUUAUACAAGGAGCACAACUACAAAAAAUGUCUUUUUUGAAUUAUUUAUUUAUUAUACAGAAAAAAAAUAGCCAGAGCAGUAGAUGUUUGAAAAACUCCAAUAACUGCUUUUUUUAACUUGUUCCCUUGACUUCAAUGCAAGUUUUUCAGGAUUUUAUUUUCGCAAUUACUGUCUUCAAAAAUUCAUAUACAAUAGAGAAAAGUAAUAGAACACCAAUCCUGAUCAAACUGCAUGUUUUGAGUUAUGAUUUGUCCUACAUCUCCUCAAGCUGUAGGAUUAAUAGCAAAUUUAAAUUUGUCAGGAAAAGGAAUGAGAAAAAUAUCCAUAGUAUAACAAAAGUGCUUUGGUGCAUUGGCCCUGAUUAACUAUAAUGUAUUUAAGGAAACAUUAACCAUAAUUAUUUUCUCCUUCUCCUCAGAAAAAACCUUUCACAUGACUUUUUAAAUGUAUUGCAGGGAGUGAAAUGGCUAUUUGAAUAACAUUUGCUUUACAUUUUGGGUUGUAACGCAAAUAUUUUGUAUUCAUUACCAAAGCCUUUAUCUUAUUUUGAGGUUAAGCCUGUCUAUUAUGAGUAAACUGCUUAUUCUAACAGUAAAGUUUGUACUGGCAGUGCUGGAGAGAAAGAAAAAUAUGUUGUAGAUAAAUGCAACAAAGUAACACUAUACAGUCAAGAUGGAGAGGAUUAACCUUGAAUCGCUCAACAAACCGCCCAUUUAAAGUGGGGAAAUGGCUUUGGAAGGCAUUUCAUGACCAGUGGGCAGGUGCUAUCACUGGGAUGGAUGGGCUGAAGGAAACCGUGAGAUAGAGAGAUAGAGGAACAACUGUGAGCUGGUCUCAGCUAUAGGGUGAGAUGAAAUCAGCGUGGGACUGACAGGGCGAGGAUAGGAUGUUAAGGAGGAGCAGUGGGGAAGGUCAGAGGGUUGAGGAGAAAGGCAGCAGGGGAAAAAGGGGUCCGGCGGGCAGAUUGCCAUGCCGACCACUGAUAAGGAUUGGUACCUAUGGGUGGUGGCACCAAGUAGUUGUUUACCCCAAGGGGUGCUCUGCGAAAUAAAAUGCAGGAGAAGCAAUUGAAAUUUAAAGGAGAUGGUAUAAGGAAGAGAUGAGAUGGAGUAAAGCUACUAAAUGUUAAUGAAUUUGUCCUUGGUGAGAUCUUUUUUGUUUAUGGGGUGUGAUAAAUUGUGAAAAUGCACCCUGAUUAAACAGAAAUCUGCCUCAUUUAAGGCAUUCAAAAGAUUAAAGAACCAAGAAUAACCCCAAUUAUUUCAGUAACAAGUAAUUCUUUGGGAGGAAAACACACUGCAUCUUCUGGAAUAAUGUUUUAUUCAAUAUUUCUUGCUGUGUGAUGCUAUUUCAACAACAAUGAGAUCAAUGUUAGCGUUUCCCUUGUUCAGUUACUUUGGUAUUCUAAUGCAGUAAGACAAUGAAUUACGAACUUUGUACUUUCACAGACUUUGGCUUGAUAAAAGUUUUGCCUUAAACUCAUUAAACUUCAACACAAAAGUUGACUCAAUUCGCUUGUGUUCAGUAACAUUAUUUUUAAGGACCGUUAUCGAUGGACUAGUGCCAUGUGAAAGAGCUACUUUCAGAUUUGGAAUAGAUCUCACUCCAAGUGUCUCAAACUCAAAGAAAAGUUUAAGAAGCUUUCUGAAAACUGUAUGUUAGUUUCAGAUAUUUUAUGCCAUAUAAAAACACUGACAUUUAUACCCGUCCAAUGUCAGAUCGUCAGCAUCAUCCUUUUCACUCUGCUGUAGUGAUGCUCAAGUGUGCCCCCGGAUAUCAAUGUCACAGCUACAGUGUGGUCUAAUGUGCAACAAAUCACACUUCUGACCAAACACAACCCGCAUCACUGAUGCCUGCUGAAAACAGCUCUGCUGCCCGAUGUGAACUUCAAGUUCACUUUUCAUGUCUUAAAAAAACUUUUCAAGGGCUUUGAACUGUUUGCGUGUCAAGCUUUGAGAGUUUUUGAGAUGUGCUGUGUCUCCCCAAAGUUGAAUGUGGGUGUGUUCAUGAUCUCUGGACUCUACAUUGGCAGAAUCAUUUAUAAUCAUCUGUCAGAGUACCUUGGUGAAUUAAAUAAUGAUAUAGCUAAGCCAGAAUGUAGUGCUGCUAGAGAUAAUGGCUUUAGAUCUGGCUUGUAGGCUUUUGUUUUAUUGAAGGUGCAGUCUGUAGUAUUCUGCUGCAUUGAAUAGAACACACUCGGUUGAAAUGGGAUGUAAUAUACUUAAACUAAGCCUGACAUAAGUUCAGGUAGGAAUGGGUUUUGCUGCUGUUGUUCUCCCUGCUGCAGACUUUGGCGUUUAAGUGGGUGGAAGGACAGGGAGCCCCCAGAAAAGAGCCCUAAUAGGGCGCUCACACCAAGCGCGAGUAAACUCGUCUACACGCUUAAUUUGCAUGAAUCUAGACGUGUAAAUGAAUAUUAUUUACUCAUUUAAUUUAACAGUAAUUUCAACAGUAAUCCCUGCCAAUUCAAAAUGGGAUCAAGUGAUAGGUAAUCCGACCGCCUCACUCACUGGCGAACUCCUUUUUAUCCCAGUUCCGUAAUUGAAAGAAAAAGUAUCACAUUAUUCGGGGCACCCACACACCAACACGAUCAGUUUGUACUCCAUCCUGGAUACCAGUGAACAACCCUCCAUUUUCAUACAUCACCCAUUAACUUUCAUGUUGAUUGGUUAUCGCAACCCAACCCCUCAAGUUGAGAAAUUUUCAGCUCCAGCCCAAUUGGCGUCAUUCGUGCUGCAAGAGUUGUAGGGGCGUCUAAUUGCGUCUAUGCAUUGACUUAACAUGUAAUUCAAUCGCACAAGUGAUUUUAAUCGCGCUUGGUGUGUGGAGACAGUAAUGCUUAACGUAGCUUAUGCUCUACAAAGUAUAUGCUUUUUAUUCAUCUUAAUAGACGAGCAUAAGGAGUGCAGACUGAAUCUUACCACCUCAGGGGUGCUGCAGAUGCAUCACAAAUAAGCAAAACAAAAUUGAGUAUUUCACUUCCUGUCAAUUCCUAUUAUACAUACAUGAAGUUUUAAAGGGCCUGACUUUUGAGGAUUUGUAAAUGCUUUGACUGAUCACACAAUAGGUUUUACCAGCAAGGUAUGCUGCAUACUGUUCCCAUCAUGAGACAAAACAGCGAUUAAAAAUUAGCAUUUAAUCCCUGGAGGAAUGUAAUGAUUCUAGGUAGCUGUAAGCUCUGACAUAUUUACUUAAGUUCCCCUCAGCACUGUGAGGGGCCCCCCUUGCAAUCAGAGCUGCAUUUACUUUUCCUUAUAAGCACAGACUCUUUAUCAGUGUAUGAGCAGAAAAUACAGAGAGAGAACAGAGGCAGAAUAACGGUGUGGAGGACAAUGAGGUGGGUGGGUGAGCGAGCAGAAAAAGAGCCACUUUAACUGUUUGGGAUUAGAAAUAAAAUAUAUUACCCUCAAAAAAUGAAGCACAUUAUUGAACGGGCUCAUACAUUCACAGAUGAGAACUCCCAAGCAGCAUGAAAUAUGUAUCAGGCUGAGAUAUGGUUUUCUCUCAGAAUAAUAAUCAACACUGUGGACAGCACAGAGCAGUAAAGACAAAAUCAAAUUCCACAGCCACCCGCAGACACAGAGUAAGCUGCUCGCAUCGCAGCCACUAGCAGCUCCCUCCCAGGGGGAAUCUAAAUUAUGUUGCUAGGCUCAAAGUUCAUGCAGGCUAGACAAAGUUGUCAUUGAAACACCAACUGUGUGUGUGAGCCUCCAGCUGCUGCCUGCUAGUUAAGCUGUCAGAAUGUCUGAGUUUCUGAAUAGAGAGCACCAUUUCAAAUCUUUUGGGAAAAAUUUGUUAAGAAAUGUCGAAGGUUUUACUCCGUCUCUAUCUGGAGAGCCUGUACUGUGUAUUUUACAUAUAAAUGUGUUUGUGUUUACAAGACUUGUAAAUGUUGCCACCUUGUGAUAAAAUACUUAGCAGCGAUACUUCUGCCAUUUCCCAGAUAUUUGCAUAUUUGCUGAAAAACAACAACGGUUGGCGCAUUGCUUUUCAAAGCAGCUUCACCAGUUAUUGCUCACGGGGUCACGUCGGGUUGGAAACGCCAUCAAAUAUCCACUGUUGGCGAUUCAUCAACAUUGUAAUUCGGCAUGAGAAUGGCUUUCCAUUUCUUUACUGGCAAUAGCUGAAAUAACUGGCUGGAAGUGAAUGUAUAAAUGAUUCAGAGCAAACACUGCGGGGGUGAAAGUGGUUAACUGUUCAGCAGAGGCGAGUAGAAAUUAGGAAAGGUGCCAAAAUUUGACCUGUUUUGCAGUCUACGAUGAGCAAGGGAUAAGGGCUUAGUGUGUAAUAAACUACAGCAAAUAGUGCAGCUGUAAAAACACUAAACUAGAAAUGCAGCAAAUGUGUGAAAAAAGCAUCAUCAAGCAAUUUAAUGCCACUAACAAAAGCACAAAUUACCCUCAGUGAAAACCAAGCAUUCUGUAUGUGUCCUAAAAGGAUGUUUCUACUCCCCAUUGACCCAUGAUGUAGCUUCAUCGUGUUGCAUGAUGACCACCAGCAGGUACAGGGUGACCAGGUAUACGCCCAGCUGCAGUACAUUCUGCAAAUUAUUGCAACCCCUUGAUUUUGUUGUGUUAGUUUAGCCUUUUUACUAAAACUCAAAUCAUUUACCACUGUGCUCCAAACGCUCCGGAAAAACGCAUUAGGAAUGGAGUUUUAAUGGAUAUUGAGCAUUUAGUUUAGUCUCAUUUGGUAUUUGACCAACUCCAUCUGUACUGUUUGUGCUACUUUGCUGUCAGCUGUCUAUUUCUUAUUAUUCAGGAGAAUGGGAUUUACAGAUAAAUAGAAACUUGCUAUUCAAAUGAGCAAAUCAAAAAUGCCCAUUUGGUCUCAGUGUACUUAGUCUUCUUAAUAUGGAAUAGCCUAUUAAACUUGAUUAAGGUUAGAGAAGCAGUGCCUGACAGUCAGUUAAAGGAAAUAAUCUAACUUGAUUUGAGUAACCCCUAAUUUCCACCACAUCUGGAACAGCUCCGCGGUGGAACGGUGGCAAUUUUCACUGUUUGCCAAUUCCUACCGGGUGUGUUUGUGAGGCGUUUGUUUCAGACAGUGGGAAUCGCGAGAACUCAUAAGAACCUGCGGAUUCGCAUGCAAUGGCACAAUAACGAGUUGUCUCUAUAAAGACAGUUACAUAACCAUAUAAGCAGCAGAUUGUGUCCUUCCAGAGGAGGAAAUCCACUUCUAGACUUAUAGAAUCAGCAUCUCCUCAUCCAUGGUGUCAACGGGGUGAAAUGAUGUCUGAAAACCUAUGACUUGUUCAUCCCUGCCCACGUUUGCAAGGUGUGAAAUAUGGUCCGCCUGAAACACGUAGUGUUUUAUUUUGAAAAGAAGCUAGAUGUUUUAUUUUGUGUCUGUGCCCGACUUCCUUUCCAGCAUGGGCUAAUCUGUGCUGAAUCCAUGCAGCAUGCUGUAGCGUCCAGAAAAAAUAGAACCCUCACGAUCGGCUGGGGAGUCCACUGAACCGCAGCGGGACGGAAAGAAGCCAGUGGAAAUUGACACAUUAACUUGAAUGGAAACGAUCAGCUGUGACUGGUGCAUAUGGCCUCUUCUGCGCGGUUCUGGAUGCGGUGGAAAUUGGGGGUUAGAAUCAGUUUCCUGUGUUACUGUCAGACAUUUAGCGGAUUGAUCCAGUCACACUAAGCUCAUCUCAUUGGAGGCUUUGUGGUUUAACAGAGAAAGGAUCUGACUUCCACUGUGACAAGGACUAUGGCCUCUGUACAUUGGAGAACCGGCUUUGCCAAUAAACAAACUGGCCAACCUUUGUGGCUUUAGUCAUGAUGCAAGCUAUUUCAAUCAAUCACAGUUUUACCUUGUGCUUAUUUUUGCUUCUAUCAAUAUGUCUUUUUUUCUUGACCAUUAUUAUCAAUACCCAUACUGUAUAUCGCAGCGGCCCUGCUUGGCUCUAACCAACACGACAUUUUAGAGCUGCCAGGCUUUGUGGCAGCCAGAGCGGCUUAAAGUCUCCUUGUCCAUUAAAUACGUGUGGCUCAUGCAAAUCUCUCCACUUUGCACAACGCUCACAACAGCCGAUUGUACACUACCUACUCAGCAUGAAAUGGCAGAGAACCAAGGUAAACAGACGAACAUCUGUCCAGCUGGAAUCUUGGGGUUCAAAUUAAUUUUAACAUCUGCUGAGAAACAUUGUUCGUAGAUUGCCCAUGUUGCUCUGUUUCUGCUAAUUGUUGACGGUCUUUUAAUGUUUAAACACAGAUAACCACAGCAGAAUGACAAACGAUAUGAAGGCUUUCAGCUGAGUUGAUAUUUUCUGCCCCCAGUGCUCCCCCAAUUGCUAAAAGCAGCUUUAAUGAAGAACAAUGUCAAGAAAGGAAGAUUUCCACAUGAAGAAUGACAGGUAGAAGAAAAUCUAAGUGAUUUAUUAAAGGAUCUCAUUAGCCUGGGAUCAAAGGGCACCUGAGUGAAACGUUCACAGUUCACGUCUUGUCUUACACGGAGGAGCAGCUGGGAAAUACAAAAAAGUGAAAGAACCCUCUGUUGAGGAAUUCAAUUGCUUUCGACAUUUCAGCGGCUCCGGCAGUCACUGAUAAAGUUAAUAGCUAAGAGAACUGGGAAUUGUGACUCCUUCACAUCCUGACAAGAGUGGGAGAAGAAGAAUCAGAGCCGAAGCAGAGUUGCAGGGAAGCACUUAUUUACAUCUGAUCUUUUAGCUCCAUCUUCCUGUUGACAGAAAUGAGACAUGGCUGCAGCUAAGUUGUUUCACUUCUCAGCAUUGCAGACUGACAGCUCUCUGGGGGCCAAGAUUUGCGGCAUCUUGAUAUCUCAAUGAUUCCUAAUUCCUUUGAUAAUAUUCUUCUUGUUUUUUAGUGACAUACCGUAUCAUUUUACCACAUAUUGCUGUCACUUUCCUUCUUCAAAAGACGCCAUGUUUGCGAGGCCUCAUCGACUGUGGUGCCGGCUCUAAUGCAGUGCACUUUUCACUUGGCUGUUAGCUAUUUGGACACUGACACUUUUUGAUGGUUUAAUUAUUUGCUCUUAUCAUUUCGGCUGUCAAAUCACACUCCAGCUCUGAGGUUAAUGUACCAGAAGCUUUGCUUGAUGAUGAUUUUUUCCCCCUACAUCUUCAUGAGAUGAAUUCUUGUGAGAGUGACAGCACCGGAAUUACAUAGUUCACAAUUUCUGUUCCAAAUCUGACAGUGAAGCGAGUUUGAGUGUUUAAUACAGUAUUUAAAUUAACUAUUUUUUUUAUUCCCUCAAAUACCAUCAGGCUUGAUACUUUGUCGGUACUUGUUCAUAUUUUAGAGUAUCCACUUUGAAUUUGUAACAGACUCUUGACUCUUGAUAGGUUUUAAUGGACGAAGAGAAGCAAACGUAAAUAGUCCCACACCGCCACUUAUACCUUGUAUUGUCAAUUUUAUCACUGUUGUUCAGGGAAAAUAUGGGAAGGUUAAAGCUCUCUUUCUCUUUUCUUCACCCCAUAGCCUCCUCGGGUCUGCCGUUAUACCGAGCAGUUCAUCUGGUAGGUCACGAACGACUAUUUCUUGCUUAGCUGGGCCUCAUGACACAUCAUUAAAAAAGCCUUAAAGUGAUAUUCUGGCAAAAAACUUAGUUAGGGUCAAACACACCCAAACACACUUAGACACCCCCUCAAGAGAUAAAUGUUGCCGACUGUUUGCUUCUCUAGUUAUACCAACUUCAGCAACGACCGCAUGAUACACGUGCAAACCUCAACCAAAAAGC